Molecule: non-coding RNA, 123 nt
Organism: Picea glauca (white spruce)
Lineage: Eukaryota; Viridiplantae; Streptophyta; Pinopsida; Pinales; Pinaceae
Source: Rfam
AUGUACAUGCCUACAAAAUAGUGUUAAUUUGUCAUAUAGCAUUAGAACUCCGCAGUUAAGCACGCUUGGGCUAGAGUAGUACUAGGAUGGGUGACUGCCCGAGAAGUCCUAGUGUUGUAAAUG